RNAcentral lists this ribosomal RNA (435 nucleotides) under uncultured bacterium. Its description in RNAcentral is "bacterial SSU rRNA". It matches the Rfam family "Bacterial small subunit ribosomal RNA", at positions 43 to 524 of the family's 1533-position model. The record is from RNAcentral.
CAGGCCUAACACAUGCAAGUCGAACGAGGGCUUCGGCCCUAGUGGCGCACGGGUGAGUAACGCGUGGGAACCUGCCCUGUGGUACGGAAUAACUCCGGGAAACUGGAGCUAAUACCGUAUGUGUCCUGCGGGACAAAGAUUUAUCGCCAUGGGAUGGGCCCGCGUAGAAUUAGCUUGUUGGUGGGGUAACGGCCUACCAAGGCAACGAUCCUUAGCUGGUCUGAGAGGAUGAUCAGCCACACUGGGACUGAGACACGGCCCAGACUCCUACGGGAGGCAGCAGUGGGGAAUAUUGGACAAUGGGCGCAAGCCUGAUCCAGCAAUGCCGCGUGAGUGAUGAAGGCCUUCGGGUUGUAAAGCUCUUUCGCACGCGACGAUGAUGACGGUAGCGUGAGAAGAAGCCCCGGCUAACUUCGUGCCAGCAGCCGCGGUAAU